AUAUAUAUAUAUAUAUAUAUAUCAAUUUAUAUAUAUAUACUAACUAUCGCUACUAUCGUUUCGUUACGUUUCGCUUUAAACACUCGUGUCGGGCAAACAUAAAUUGCAAUACGUUCAACUCGAUUGACGAAAGCCGAGCUAACUGUAAAGCAACAACAACAGCAGCAGCGGCAACAACAACAACAACAACAACGCAUCGAUUGUGUUCCUAGUCAAAUUUGUUCCAUUUUUUUUCGCUUUUUGUUACACUGUGCAAAAGCCAAGCCAAGCUAAGCAAAGCAAACGCAGCAACAAUACCAAUAACAACAACAACAACUACAGCUAAAACUCAAGCAACAACAACAGCAGCGUGCGACAGAGCGAGAUAGCUGUUGCCAACGCAGCAUUUGAGUGAGCGAGCGCGAGCAAGCAUUUUGCAAUCAAUAGAGCCAAAAAAAAGAAGAAAUUUUUUUUUCUUGCUGCUUCUUCGUUCAUAUAUAUAUAUCGAAGUAUAUAUAUAUAUGUUUUUGCUAUCUAUAUAUUUUUUUUUGCGACGUGUCUGUGUUGACUUUAUCGUAUUGCACAAAUCUAUUGAGUACGAAACGAGCGAGCAAUCGAACAGCUAAUUAUCAUUUAUCAGACACGUUCUGG
Long non-coding RNA from Drosophila mojavensis, 630 nucleotides. RefSeq lists it as uncharacterized. Lineage: Eukaryota; Metazoa; Arthropoda; Insecta; Diptera; Drosophilidae. The transcript is spliced from 2 exons. The record is from RefSeq and is a predicted model, not a curated record.